AGCUUUGCUCAGUGGUGGCAUCAUAGCAGCCAAUAAAGUUUAUCUGAGCGCCAUUAUUGCUAAUUGAAAACUUUGCUCAGUACCCCACCAUGAAGACUUGCCAUAGAGUUAGUAUUGGCAAUUUUUGACAAUUUCUACAGAGA
Small nuclear RNA from Aotus nancymaae (Ma's night monkey), 143 nucleotides. Its record names the gene U4. It matches the Rfam family "U4 spliceosomal RNA". From Rfam's summary of the family: U4 small nuclear RNA (U4 snRNA) is a component of the major U2-dependent spliceosome. The record is from Ensembl. NCBI's taxonomy places the organism in Eukaryota, Metazoa, Chordata, Mammalia, Primates, Aotidae.